CCGGCGACCGGCGCACGGGUGAGUAACACGUAUGCAACCUGCCCUCCGCAGGGGGAUAACCCGGAGAAAUCCGGACUAAUACCGCGUGGUACACCAGUGGGGCAUCCCACGGGUGUUAAAAGGAAGCGAUUCCGGCGGAGGAUGGGCAUGCGGCGCAUUAGCUUGUUGGCGGGGUAACGGCCCACCAAGGCGACGAUGCGUAGGGGUUCUGAGAGGAAGGUCCCCCACACUGGUACUGAGACACGGACCAGACUCCUACGGAAGGCAGCAG
This 271-nucleotide ribosomal RNA is filed under the name uncultured bacterium. RNAcentral describes it as "partial 16S ribosomal RNA". It matches the Rfam family "Bacterial small subunit ribosomal RNA", at positions 88 to 354 of the family's 1533-position model. The record is from RNAcentral.